AGCUUACAAAGGAUAAUAGUCUAUCCAGUGGUCUUAGGAACCAAAAACUCUUGGUGCAAAUCCAAGUGAAAGCU
This 74-nucleotide transfer RNA is filed under the name unidentified. RNAcentral describes it as "Prolabeops melanhypopterus tRNA-Leu". It matches the Rfam family "tRNA". Rfam says of the family: Transfer RNA (tRNA) molecules are approximately 80 nucleotides in length. Their secondary structure includes four short double-helical elements and three loops (D, anti-codon, and T loops). The record is from RNAcentral.